RNAcentral lists this ribosomal RNA (255 nucleotides) under uncultured bacterium. RNAcentral describes it as "partial 16S ribosomal RNA". It matches the Rfam family "Bacterial small subunit ribosomal RNA", at positions 524 to 776 of the family's 1533-position model. The record is from RNAcentral.
UACGUAGGGCGCAAGCGUUUGUCCGGAAUUAUUGGGCGUAAAGAGCUCGUAGGCGGUUUGUCGCGUCUGCUGUGAAAACCCGAGGCUCAACCUCGGGCCUGCAGUGGGUACGGGCAGACUAGAGUGCGGUAGGGGGAGAUUGGAAUUCCUGGUGUAGCGGUGGAAUGCGCAGAUAUCAGGAGGAACACCAAUGGCGAAGGCAGAUCUCUGGGCCGUAACUGACGCUGAGGAGCGAAAGCAUGGGGAGCGAACAGG